This is a long non-coding RNA of Alexandromys fortis (reed vole), 1077 nucleotides long. RefSeq lists it as uncharacterized. The record is from RefSeq and is a predicted model, not a curated record. The transcript is spliced from 3 exons. Lineage: Eukaryota; Metazoa; Chordata; Mammalia; Rodentia; Cricetidae.
GCUGCUUCAAGCUCCUGCUGCCGUGAUUGCCUCAUCGUGCUAAACGGUGGGAAAUACAAAGCUAUUUAAGAUUCUCUGACCAGGCUGGGAGAGAUGAAGGCCAAGUGAACAGAGUAGGACCUGGUGGUGAUGCUUCAAGGAGAAUAUUUCAGCAGUCUGGGAGCCCAGAUGCUCUUGGUUUAUCAAGAAUGAUGAACAGGUACAGUCAAGCGCAGGUUUUGCAGGAACUCUGUCCUGUCCUGUUUCACAGAAACUGUCUUGUAGACAGCACACUGAUUUUCAGCUGCAGGAUAUUUCCUACUUACCCUUGGAACAAGUCGUAACUGUCUGUGUUCUAGGCGUCUAUGUAAGUGGAAGAAAUAGAAGGCAACAGAUUAGUGAUGACGGAGUCAACAUACAAAUGCUGGACCUCCUAACUGUGGAUGUCGUGUUUGUGAAAGAAUCAAACUGUUAUAUUAUUCACCUUUAUUAGCUUCAAUAAAAGAAGAAUCCCCACUAUUCAUAAUUCAACUAAUUCUGCUUGAAAAUCAUCUAUCUAUGACUUAAGGACAUCCCUCAAGGCAAGUCUGAGUCUUCUAAAGUAAAACCCAAAGAAACAUCACGCAUGUGACGGUUGGAAUCUGGUGUGUCUCAGAGACUCCUGGAUUGAAAGUUGGGUCUCAACCGAUGGCGCUACUGAGAGACCAAGGGAUCAGUCCAGGGUGAGUGGACAGUUGAAGGACUGCCAGGGUUAGGGACAAGAUUGAAUCAGCAGGCCACUGGAGGCGUGCCUUGAGGAAAGCAUCUCCUGCUCAGUGCCUUCCACUCACUGACCUGAAAAGAAGUGUUCCUCAGCCACACCCUUCCUCCAUGAUGCCCCUGCUUUGUUACAGACUGAAAAGAAAUGAAGCCAGCUUUGUCCUGAAACCUGUGAGCAAAAUAAAACAUACAUCCUUCUAAGCCGCUUCCUCUGACCUUUCGGAGCGACAGGACGCUGACUGACAAACACGUUGUUUCAUGGAUUUGGCAAGUGACUGAGGACUUUGAGGUAACGUGCUGUAACUCCUGAUUUUCAGACUUCAGCAACUUUGGCACAAA